CCGGCGCUGGGCGCUACAGCGGCUCCCGGUGCGCCCCUCACCAGACCUCGCAUGGUGGAGAAGCAG
This 66-nucleotide long non-coding RNA is filed under the name Zalophus californianus (California sea lion). RNAcentral's name for it is "lncRNA (ENSZCAG00015007730.1)". Lineage: Eukaryota; Metazoa; Chordata; Mammalia; Carnivora; Otariidae. The record is from RNAcentral.